This 528-nucleotide long non-coding RNA is filed under the name Homo sapiens (human). Its description in RNAcentral is "HSALNT0191575". Lineage: Eukaryota; Metazoa; Chordata; Mammalia; Primates; Hominidae. The record is from RNAcentral.
CUUUGGAGAGCAAAAGCAAAAGAUUAACUAACUGCUCACAUGGGUCCCAGGAAAAUACAAAAGCACUACUGUUUAACAGGAAAGUUACUAUCCAGAAAUUAACCCACAAAGGUGGGAAGAGUAUUUACCCGCUAAUCUCUUUAUUCCCUCGCCUGACAAAAUAUCUGCAUUCCUGGGCGGCCUCAAGAAAUGAACUACAGACAUCUAUUCCCUUUGUGAUACCUCCUUGGAAUCAAAGUGUGGAGUGUAACAAUGUGCCUCCACACACUCACACUAGUUGAUGCUUCAUCUUGGUGAAAUCAAGUUUUUGGAAUUACCUUUCCUAAGAUCAUUCUAUUCACAGAGAAGGAGCUUAAUGAAACUAUGGUGGAUGUAUUCUAGACAGAAGAAGGAUUAAACCAAGAUAAAAACAAUGUGAAUGAGGAAAGUGGGAGUAACAGGGAUUCCAAGAGAAAGAAGGAGAACUGGUAAUUGAUGUGGGGCCAAACAGCACAGUACAGCAGAAAGGAUCUAAAUUUGGGAAUUAUA